Molecule: ribosomal RNA, 317 nt
Filed under: uncultured bacterium
Lineage: Bacteria
Description: bacterial SSU rRNA
Rfam family: Bacterial small subunit ribosomal RNA
Source: RNAcentral
ACAUGGUACAGUGUGAAAAACUCCGGUGGUAUGAGAUGGACCCGCGUCUGAUUAGCUGGUUGGCGGGCAACGGCCACCAAGGCUACGAUCAGUAGGGUUCUGAGAGGAAGGUCCCCCACAUUGGUACUGAGACACGGACCAAACUCCUACGGGAGGCAGCAGUGAGGAAUAUUGGUCAAUGGGCGGAAGCCUGAACCAGCCAAGUCGCGUGAGGGAGGACGGUCCUACGGAUUGUAAACCUCUUUAGCCGGGGAGUAAAGUGCGUGACGUGUCACGCAUUGAGAGUACCCGGAGAAUAAGCAUCGGCUAACUCCGUG